RNAcentral lists this ribosomal RNA (459 nucleotides) under uncultured bacterium. Its description in RNAcentral is "partial 16S ribosomal RNA". It matches the Rfam family "Bacterial small subunit ribosomal RNA", at positions 338 to 795 of the family's 1533-position model. The record is from RNAcentral.
CCUACGGGUGGCAGCAGUGAGGAAUAUUGGUCAAUGGGCGCGAGCCUGAACCAGCCAAGUCGCGUGAGGGAAGACGGCCCUAUGGAUUGUAAACCUCUUUUGUCGGGGAGUAAACGUCGCUACGCGUGUCGUUCCGAGAGUACCCGAAGAAAAAGAAUCGGCUAACUCCGUGCCAGCAGCCGCGGUAAUACGGAGGAUGCGAGCGUUAUCCGGAUUUAUUGGGUUUAAAGGGUGCGCAGGCGGAAGAAUAAGUCAGCGGUAAAAUUGAGAGGCUCAACCGCUUCAGGCCGUUGAAACUGGUUUUCUUGAGUGAGCGAGAAGUAGGCGGAAUGUGUGGUGUAGCGGUGAAAUGCAUAGAGAUCACGCAGAACUCCGAUUGCGAAGGCAGCAUACCGGCGCUCAACUGACGCUCAUGCACGAAAGUGUGGGUAGCGAACAGGAUUAGAUACCCUUGUAGUC